RNAcentral lists this ribosomal RNA (1017 nucleotides) under uncultured bacterium. Its description in RNAcentral is "bacterial SSU rRNA". It matches the Rfam family "Bacterial small subunit ribosomal RNA", at positions 355 to 1375 of the family's 1533-position model. The record is from RNAcentral.
UGAGGAAUAUUGGUCAAUGGACGCGAGUCUGAACCAGCCAAGUAGCGUGAAGGAUGACUGCCCUAUGGGUUGUAAACUUCUUUUAUAUGGGAAUAAAGUGGUCCACGUGUGGACUUUUGUAUGUACCAUAUGUAUAAGGAUCGGCUAACUCCGUGCCAGCAGCCGCGGUAAUACGGAGGAUCCGAGCGUUAUCCGGAUUUAUUGGGUUUAAAGGGAGCGUAGGCGGAUUGUUAAGUCAGUUGUGAAAGUUUGCGGCUCAACCGUAAAAUUGCAGUUGAUACUGGCAGUCUUGAGUGCAGUAGAGGUGGGCGGAAUUCGUGGUGUAGCGGUGAAAUGCUUAGAUAUCACGAAGAACUCCGAUUGCGAAGGCAGCUCACUGGAGUGUAACUGACGCUGAUGCUCGAAAGUGUGGGUAUCAAACAGGAUUAGAUACCCUGGUAGUCCACACAGUAAACGAUGAAUACUCGCUGUUUGCGAUAUACAGUAAGCGGCCAAGCGAAAGCGUUAAGUAUUCCACCUGGGGAGUACGCCGGCAACGGUGAAACUCAAAGGAAUUGACGGGGGCCCGCACAAGCGGAGGAACAUGUGGUUUAAUUCGAUGAUACGCGAGGAACCUUACCCGGGCUUAAAUUGCAGAUGAAUUACGGUGAAAGCCGUAAGCCGCAAGGCAUCUGUGAAGGUGCUGCAUGGUUGUCGUCAGCUCGUGCCGUGAGGUGUCGGCUUAAGUGCCAUAACGAGCGCAACCCUUGUUGUCAGUUACUAACAGGUUCCGCUGAGGACUCUGACAAGACUGCCAUCGUAAGAUGUGAGGAAGGUGGGGAUGACGUCAAAUCAGCACGGCCCUUACGUCCGGGGCUACACACGUGUUACAAUGGGGGGUACAGAGGGCCGCUACCACGCGAGUGGAUGCCAAUCCCCAAAACCUCUCUCAGUUCGGACUGGAGUCUGCAACCCGACUCCACGAAGCUGGAUUCGCUAGUAAUCGCGCAUCAGCCAUGGCGCGGUGAAUACGUUCCC